UACGUAGGGGGCAAGCGUUGUCCGGAAUUAUUGGGCGUAAAGAGCGUGUAGGCGGCCAGAUAAGUCCGCUGUGAAAUCUCGAGGCUCAACUUCGAGCUGUCGGUGGAAACUAUCUGGCUAGAGUCCGGAAGAGGCGAGUGGAAUUCCUGGUGUAGCGGUGAAAUGCGUAGAGAUCGGGAGGAAUACCAGUGGCGAAGGCGGCCUGCUGGGCCACGACCGACACUGAGGUGCGAAAGCGUGGGGAGCGAACCGG
RNAcentral lists this ribosomal RNA (253 nucleotides) under uncultured bacterium. RNAcentral's name for it is "partial 16S ribosomal RNA". It matches the Rfam family "Bacterial small subunit ribosomal RNA", at positions 524 to 776 of the family's 1533-position model. The record is from RNAcentral.